GACGAACGCUGGCGGCGUGCUUAACACAUGCAAGUCGAGCGGUAAGGCCCUUUCGGGGGUACACGAGCGGCGAACGGGUGAGUAACACGUGGGUGACCUGCCCUCAGCUCUGGGAUAAGCCCGGGAAACUGGGUCUAAUACCGGAUAUGACUCCAUGACGCAUGUUGUGGGGUGGAAAGCCUUGUGCGGCUGAGGAUGGGCCCGCGGCCUAUCAGCUUGUUGGUGGGGUGAUGGCCACCAAGGCGACGACGGGUAGCCGGCCUGAGAGGGCGACCGGCCACACUGGGACUGAGACACGGCCCAGACUCCGUACGGGAGGCAGCAGGUGGGGAAUCUUGCGCAAUGGGCGAAAGCCUGACGCAGCGACGCCGCGUGAGGGAUGACGGCC
Molecule: ribosomal RNA, 388 nt
Filed under: uncultured bacterium
Lineage: Bacteria
Description: bacterial SSU rRNA
Rfam family: Bacterial small subunit ribosomal RNA
Source: RNAcentral